UACGUAGGGUGCAAGCGUUGUCCGGAAUUAUUGGGCGUAAAGAGCUCGUAGGCGGUUUGUCGCGUCUGCUGUGAAAACCCGAGGCUCAACCUCGGGCCGGCAGUGGGUACGGGCAGACUAGAGUGCGGUAGGGGAGAUUGGAAUUCCUGGUGUAGCGGUGGAAUGCGCAGAUAUCAGGAGGAACACCAAUGGCGAAGGCAGAUCUCUGGGACGUAACUGACGCUGAGGAGCGAAAGCAUGGGGAGCGAACAGG
Molecule: ribosomal RNA, 253 nt
Filed under: uncultured bacterium
Lineage: Bacteria
Description: partial 16S ribosomal RNA
Rfam family: Bacterial small subunit ribosomal RNA
Source: RNAcentral